Molecule: ribosomal RNA, 324 nt
Filed under: uncultured eukaryote
Lineage: Eukaryota
Description: partial 18S ribosomal RNA
Rfam family: Eukaryotic small subunit ribosomal RNA
Source: RNAcentral
CCCUUAGAUGCUCUGGGCCGCACGCGCGCUACACUGGUCGAUGCAACGAGUUUCUUUCCUUGGCCGACAGGCCUGGGCAAUCUUUGAACAUCGAUCGUGAUCGGGAUAGAUUCUUGUAAUUUUUGAUCUUAAACGAGGAAUUCCUAGUAAACGCAAGUCAUCAGCUUGCAUUGAUUACGUCCCUGCCCUUUGUACACACCGCCCGUCGCACCUACCGAUUGAAUGGUCCGGUGAAAUCUCCGGACUGGCGUGAGUCGGAGCAAUCUGACAAACGUCGGAAAGUUGAUUAAACCUUACCAUUUAGAGGAAGGUGAAGUCGUAACA